This 522-nucleotide small RNA is filed under the name Pan troglodytes (chimpanzee). Its description in RNAcentral is "processed transcript". Lineage: Eukaryota; Metazoa; Chordata; Mammalia; Primates; Hominidae. The record is from RNAcentral.
CCUCCUUUCCACAGGAAAUGCUCCCAGACGACAGCACGAACAAGCCCUAAUUAAGUCUUUCCUCAGAUCCCGACGUCUUUUCCUCCAACCACAUCUUGGGUUUAGAUGUAGACCAGAUGAAGAAGCUGUGGUGGAUCAGGGUGGGACCAGUACAAUUCUCAACAUUCACUAUGAAAAAGAAGAGCUGGAAGGUCACAGAACUCUGUAUGUGGGAGUUCGGAUGCCGCUUGGCCGGCAGAGCCAUCGGCAUCACCGCACUCAUGGCCAGAAGCACCGGAGACGAGGGCGAGGCAAAGGAGCCAGCCAGGGGGAGGAAGGCCUGGAAGCCCUGGCCCACGACACACCAUCUCAGCGUGUUCAGUUCAUUCUUGGCACCGAGGAAGAUGAAGAGCAUGUGCCUCAUGAGCUGUUUACAGAGCUGGAUGAGAUCUGUAUGAAAGAGGGAGAAGAUGCUGAGUGGAAGGAAACAGCCAGGUGGCUGAAGUUUGAAGAAGAUGUUGAAGAUGGGGGAGAACGCUGGAG